This 497-nucleotide long non-coding RNA is filed under the name Physcomitrium patens. RNAcentral's name for it is "long non-coding RNA (PPAT_LNC000195)". The record is from RNAcentral. Lineage: Eukaryota; Viridiplantae; Streptophyta; Bryopsida; Funariales; Funariaceae.
UUUUUAGGUCCAAUAAGAUUAUUUGAGAUUUGCAACAAUUUGUUAAUUAGAUUGAAGUGAUUUUUAUUAAAGGUAAUAUUUGACUUGACUUCCAAUACUUAUACAAAUUUUGAGAGCAAGUUAAUGGUUCAAUUAGGAGUUAUUGCUACUAAAAGAUCAAUAUUAAGAUCAAUGAUGGAGGCCGGCCAACACCUAAGUGGAUUAUGAGAUUUUUCUGCCAUUUUAUAAAUUCAAUUCUCUUCAAAUUUUUUAAGCUUAUUAUUCAGUAAGAAAUUGAGAGGUAUAUAAAAUUUUAAACAAGAUCAAGAAUUUAAUUAAUAAAGAUUGAGGUUCUAAAAUUGUCCUAGGAUUGAUUUGAAUUUGUUAGAUUUUGAUUAGGAUUUGUUUAGAAAUUGAUUAGGAUUUGGCUUAGGAUUUGAUUAGGGUUCGGCUUUAGAUUUGAUUAGGAUUUGAUUUAGGAUUUAAGAUCUGAUUAGAAUUGAUUUAGGAUUUAGAAU